GCAUGUGGAACCUGCGAGAAACAAUAACAGACGCACUGCAAAUAUUUACAUGCGAUUUCAAAGCCAUUACACACGUGAUUAUGUCUUCUGUUUGCCGAGCGUCGACGGCCUUUUAUUCGGGGAGGGAGUGAUUUGAAUGGAAGGUGCUCCUGUCGGUUUGCAGGGUAAACAGAGCGAGCGGUAAAUAAAGAUGCCAGCUGUUGGGCAGCAGAAGGGACGCAGGGAGUGGGGGAGGGGGAGGGGGGGGGGGCAGAUGCUGGGGCAUUAGCGUGUGUCAGGGCUCACUGGAUUUCUGCAUCAUCACAAUAACGUGUUCAAAGAAACUACACCAGGUCCAUAAACAUUAAGAGACGAAGCAGAAGGACAGAGUAUUUCACACACACACACACACACACACACACACACACUUUCAUUCAUUGUCUUUGUUUCUUUCAUUCACUCUUAUAAUUAUUGUCUCUUUCUUUGUUUUCUUUUUCGUGUCAAGCUUCGUUCUUUCUGCAUUUAUUUCCCCAUUAUUCUUUCUUUUUCUUUCCUCCUUACUCCGGUUCUUUCUCUUCUCUCUUUUCCUUCCGUUUAUUUCCUCAUUUAUUCCACGGUCAGUAUUCCCUUUCUCCAUCUUUCCUUCUUUUCCGCCGUGCCAAGCCGCGCUUCCUUUUUCUCUCGAGAUUGACCUCUUUCUAUCGCUCUUUCUUAAUAUAUUCUCUCUCUCCUUCUUUCGCUCAGGCUCUCUUUCAUUACUUCACCGUGUCUUUUUUCCUUUCCUUCAUCGACUUUGUGUCUUUCGUUCGUCCGCUCCCGUUCUUAUUUCCCCUCCGUCCCGGUCAGGUUCUCCGCCGCUUCCUGAUCGAUGUCCUUUCCCAGCGCCACACGUCCGAUGACGCGAAGGGGCCGAGACGUGACGAUGGCUGAACAUCUGGAAAAAAAAAAACACAGCAGCUUUGGCAGAGCAGCGAAAAGACGUGAUCUCGGCGUCGACCUUUCCCUCAGACUCGCCGAUGAACUCCGCGUCACGUGCGUGAUCUAUAUCCGGAGCUCCUGCGAUAUUCCCGUUCCCAGCUGCGUCCGGCGUGCUUCUCCGAUAACGAGAUGGACCCUGGUGGCGCGGUGAAAGCCGGAGGAGGUGUUUACUGGGGCGCUGUGUGAGGAGACGGAGGACAGACGACUGCGGCGGGGAGCGAGGAAAGGGCACGUGGCGUCUGCUCUAGUGAAGGAGCACCUCGCUCCACAGUAAAUCAUCCCAUUCCCAGCAGAUCGCGCCGCUCCCAGCACGCUUCCUCGCGGUAAUGAAGCGCGAGAACUUACUCGCCCUGCAGGUGAGAACGUCACGAGCAGGUGUGAGACGGGCUCGUCUUUCACAGGAAGGGCUGGAAAUCGACCCCGGCUCGCGUCCACGUUCCGGCACUUUCAGGUGGAGGAUAAUUGACUCACGUCUCGGUUUAACGUCUCCACGCGUUACAGCGGGUCUGUUACGCCGCUACGGCGUAUCUGUUCGUUUCCUGACAGUAUCGGGACGGUUUCUAUAGUAACAGCUCGACACAAAAAGACGAAGGGAUUUACGUGUUAUUCUGUAAGGAGUAAACAGACUGCCGUGGUGUAAGAGGAAUAAAACGCGUCCGCACCGCUGGCCGUGUGCGUUUAGACCUCGCUGCUCCGUGAAGGUUCGGCGUGCCCGGACUCGUCCUCCGACCGCCUGCCGAGCUACUUCCUGUUUCCCGGGGCCGUGCUUUUUCUCCCCGUGCCUCCCCGCGGUUACGCGAGCGGAGACGUCCGAGACGGUGUUCUCUCCGGGUUGAGGACGUUGAGGAGAAUUUGCACGUCAUCUCUACGUGAAGAUUAAAAAUAAAACAUUCACAUGGUGCGCUGCUCUGCUGCGGCCGUGCUGCGGGGGGCGCCGCUGAGGACGGGUUCAGACUGGUGCGGUGUGUUAUUACAGCACAUGGAAUGUUCACGUCUUCCCUCUGUUUACACACCACCACCACGACAGGCACACCGUUUCACCCUGCAGCGUGUGUGUGUGUGUGUGUGUGUGUGUGUGUGUGUGUGUGUGUGUGUGUGUGUGGGUGUCUAAUGAUUAAAAACACUGACCUUAACUGGACGUCUAAUGGAAGUAUGAUGUAUUAUUUGAUUAAAACUUUUCUCGUUGUUAUUACUAAGCAGGAAACUGUGUUUUGACGAUUACGGGCUGUUAAGUGCGCGCGUGUGUGUGUGUGUGUGUGUGUGUGUUAUGACUUAGACAAAGAUCAGAUUUUUGGAGCUGAGGACACUGCGUAGAGAAAUCCAACUCAUUCCAACAGAAGGAAAAUCAAUCUCUCUCUCUCUCUCUCUUUCAGACUCUCUCCCUUUCUUAACCCUCGUUUUCUCUCCCCCUCUCUCUCGUUUCCUUUUUUCUUUCUUUCCCUAGACGUGUUCUGUUUCUUUCAGUCUCGAUCUCUCUCCUUUCUUUCGGAGGACUUGUUUCAGUGCAGUAAUAAUGAUGAUGUGUGUGAGACGCGGGGAUUAUCUCUAUCGGGGUGUGAUGUAUACAUGUUGUGGUUGGAAACACAGCUGGAAGUUCUGCUAACGUAUAACAAGUGAUAAGUCAUUGAGACAGACUGGGCUCGUGCACACACACACACACACACACACACACACACACACACACGGUCUAGAGCUGUAAAAUCUCCUGUUAUCCUUUUUUAAGCACAUUCUUCUAAAGGUCUGUGUUUCCGUUCUUUGUUCAUUCUUUUCUCGGUGUCUUUGCUGUUAACUCUGACACUGCUACAGAUCUUCCCGGGCCCGAGCGAGAGGCUCUCAGAUCUUCCCGGGCCCGAGCGAGAGGCUCUCAGAUCUUCCCGGGCCCGAGCGAGAGGUUCUCAGAUCUUCCCGGGCCCGAGCGAGAGGUUCUCAGGUCUUCCCGGGCCCGAGCGAGAGGUUCUCAGGUCUUCCCGGGCCCGAGCGAGAGGUUCUCAGGUCUUCCCGGGGCUAAGGGAGAGUUUCUCAGCGAGUGCCAGACCCGAGUGAGAGGUCUACACCCUGCACAUGUAUGGUGGACUCACUGAAAGGGUUUGAGGUCUCGUUUAGUGCAGCCCGUAUUUGCAUGUCAUUUGCAUAUAACCCCUGCAGGCUGUGUGGAAUGCCAAGAGGCUAAACUCUCUGUUUAUUACCCCAGUCUUAACUAGUUUUCAGUUUGCACUCGUUUGCAUCUCAUUUGCAUAAACUGGUCUUCUCUGGGACUCGGGGUUCCGUGACCUAAAUUAUUUUCAUUCCUCAUACCUGAGGAAGAAACCCUGGGAUUAGUAUUAAUUACAUCAGGACACUUAAAACACGGCCAGAACGGUACACUCUCCAACUGUGUGUGUGAGAGAGAGAGAGAGAGAGAGAGAGAGAGAGAGAGAGAGAGUGACAGAGAGAGACACAGAGAGAGAGAGACAGAGAGAGACACAGAGAGAGAGAGAGAGAGAGAGAGAGAGACACAGAGAG
Molecule: long non-coding RNA, 3459 nt
Organism: Ictalurus punctatus (channel catfish)
Lineage: Eukaryota; Metazoa; Chordata; Actinopteri; Siluriformes; Ictaluridae
Source: Ensembl